GGUCUAGCUCAGUGGUAGAGUGCAUCCUUAGCAUGCAUGAAACCCUGGGUUCAAUCUCCAGCACCA
This 66-nucleotide transfer RNA is filed under the name Marmota monax (woodchuck). RNAcentral's name for it is "tRNA.Ala". The record is from RNAcentral. Lineage: Eukaryota; Metazoa; Chordata; Mammalia; Rodentia; Sciuridae.